CUAUGUGGCCUAAAUACCCUAAGGACACCAAAUCCCAUUUGAUCUUGGAAGCUAAGCAGGGUCUGCUCUGGUAAGUACUUGGAUGGGAGACUACCAAUGAAAAUCAGGUCCUGUAGACU
RNAcentral lists this ribosomal RNA (119 nucleotides) under Anolis carolinensis (green anole). Lineage: Eukaryota; Metazoa; Chordata; Lepidosauria; Squamata; Anolidae. The record is from RNAcentral.